UUGUUCCUGAAAACUCACAGCUUAACUGUGGGCGUGCGGGCGAUACGGGCAGACUUGAGUACUGCAGGGGAGACUGGAAUUCCUGGUGUAGCGGUGGAAUGCGCAGAUAUCAGGAGGAACACCGGUGGCGAAGGCGGGUCUCUGGGCAGUAACUGACGCUGAGGAGCGAAAGCGUGGGGAGCGAACAGGAUUAGAUACCCUGGUAGUCCACGCCGUAAACGGUGGGUACUAGGUGUGGGUUUCCUUCCUUGGGAUCCGUGCCGUAGCUAACGCAUUAAGUACCCCGCCUGGGGAGUACGGCCGCAAGGCUAAAACUCAAAGAAAUUGACGGGGGCCCGCACAAGCGGCGGAGCAUGUGGAUUAAUUCGAUGCAACGCGAAGAACCUUACCUGGGUUUGACAUGCACAGGACGCUGGUAGAGAUAUCAGUUCCCUUGUGGCCUGUGUGCAGGUGGUGCAUGGCUGUCGUCAGCUCGUGUCGUGAGAUGUUGGGUUAAGUCCCGCAACGAGCGCAACCCUUGUCCUAUGUUGCCAGCGGGUUAUGCCGGGGACUCGUAGGAGACUGCCGGGGUCAACUCGGAGGAAGGUGGGGAUGACGUCAAGUCAUCAUGCCCCUUAUGUCCAGGGCUUCACACAUGCUACAAUGGCCGGUACAAAGGGCUGCGAUGCCGUGAGGUGGAGCGAAUCCUUGUAAAGCCGGUCUCAGUUCGGAUCGGGGUCUGCAACUCGACCCCGUGAAGUCGGAG
Molecule: ribosomal RNA, 745 nt
Filed under: uncultured bacterium
Lineage: Bacteria
Description: bacterial SSU rRNA
Rfam family: Bacterial small subunit ribosomal RNA
Source: RNAcentral